ANNGNNGAGNCUGCNGUCGACGAUUCCUACGGGAGGCAGCAGUGGGGAAUCUUGGACAAUGGGCGCAAGCCUGAUCCAGCCAUGCCGCGUGAGUGAUGAAGGCCUUAGGGUCGUAAAGCUCUUUCGCCAGGGAUGAUAAUGACAGUACCUGGUAAAGAAACCCCGGCUAACUCCGUGCCAGCAGCCGCGGUAAUACGGAGGGGGUUAGCGUUGUUCGGAAUUACUGGGCGUAAAGCGUACGUAGGCGGAUCAGAAAGUUAGGGGUGAAAUCCCGGGGCUCAACCCCGGAACUGCCUCUAAAACUCCUGGUCUUGAGUUCGAGAGAGGUAAGUGGAAUUCCGAGUGUAGAGGUGAAAUUCGUAGAUAUUCGGAGGAACACCAGUGGCGAAGGCGGCUUACUGGCUCGAUACUGACGCUGAGGUACGAAAGUGUGGGGAGCAAACAGGAUUAGAUACCCUGGUAGUCCACACCGUAAACGAUGAAUGCCAGUCGUCGGGUAGCAUGCUAUUCGGUGACACACCUAACGGAUUAAGCAUUCCGCCUGGGGAGUACGGUCGCAAGAUUAAAACUCAAAGGAAUUGACGG
RNAcentral lists this ribosomal RNA (585 nucleotides) under uncultured Antarctobacter sp. RNAcentral's name for it is "bacterial SSU rRNA". It matches the Rfam family "Bacterial small subunit ribosomal RNA", at positions 295 to 916 of the family's 1533-position model. Lineage: Bacteria; Pseudomonadati; Pseudomonadota; Alphaproteobacteria; Rhodobacterales; Roseobacteraceae. The record is from RNAcentral.